RNAcentral lists this ribosomal RNA (129 nucleotides) under Streptomyces fildesensis. RNAcentral's name for it is "partial 23S ribosomal RNA". It matches the Rfam family "Bacterial large subunit ribosomal RNA", at positions 1 to 128 of the family's 2925-position model. RNAcentral also lists the same sequence under 1 other name. Lineage: Bacteria; Bacillati; Actinomycetota; Actinomycetes; Kitasatosporales; Streptomycetaceae. The record is from RNAcentral.
GCGCAAGUUUUUAAGGGCGCACGGUGGAUGCCUUGGCACCAGGAACCGAUGAAGGACGCGAGAGGCCGCGAUAGGCCCCGGGGAGCUGUCAACUGAGCUGUGAUCCGGGGGUGUCCGAAUGGGGAAACC